UCAAGAAACUUCCACAAUGGGCGAAAGCCUGAUGGAGCGACGUCGCGUGAUGGACGAAGUGCUUCGGCACGUAAACAUCUUUUAUGUGGGAUGAAAUUAUUGACAGUACCACAUGAAUAAGGGGCUCCUAACUCUGUGCCAGCAGGAGCGGUAAUACAGAGGCCCCAAGCGUUAUCCGGAAUCACUGGGCGUAAAGGGUGUCGAGGCGGUUGUAUUAGUCGUUCGUAAAAUCUACGAGCUUAACUUGUAGGCGGCGAACGAAACGGUACGACUUGAGGUUUGGAGAGGUGCGUGGAACUCACGGUGUAGGGGUGAAAUCCGUUGAUAUCGUGGGGAACACCAAAGGCGAAGGCAGCGCACUGGCCAAAAUCUGACGCUCACACACGAAAGCUAGGGGAGCAAACGGGAUUAGAUACCCCCGUAGUCCCUGAGCGGGCUGGCAAGGCGCAU
This 450-nucleotide ribosomal RNA is filed under the name uncultured bacterium. RNAcentral describes it as "bacterial SSU rRNA". It matches the Rfam family "Bacterial small subunit ribosomal RNA", at positions 355 to 825 of the family's 1533-position model. The record is from RNAcentral.